RNAcentral lists this ribosomal RNA (341 nucleotides) under Stenotarsus lemniscatus. RNAcentral's name for it is "partial 12S ribosomal RNA". Lineage: Eukaryota; Metazoa; Arthropoda; Insecta; Coleoptera; Endomychidae. The record is from RNAcentral.
UUAAAUUGUAAAUAUUUUUCAAAAUUAUUGUUAGUUAUGUUCUUUAAAUUUAAAAAAUUUGGCGGUAUUUUAAUCUUUUCAGAGGAACCUGUCCUGUAAUUGAUAAUCCACGAUUAAUAAAACUUUAAUUAUAAUUUGUAUAUCGUCGUAUAAAAAUAUGUUAAAAGAUUAUAUUAAUUUUUAAUUAAAACUUAAUUCAGAUCAAGGUGCAGUUUAUAUUAAAGAAGAGAUGGGUUACUAUUUUAAAUAAAUUUAGAUAAAAUUUUUAAAAGAUUUUAAAAAAUGGAUUUGAAAGUAAUUAAUAUAUUUAUUUUAUUAAUGAUUAAAGUUCUAAAAUAUGU